This 65-nucleotide transfer RNA is filed under the name Aureococcus anophagefferens. Lineage: Eukaryota; Pelagophyceae; Pelagomonadales; Pelagomonadaceae. The record is from RNAcentral.
UGCUAUCAACUUGAGAAGAAAGCGGAGCUUCUAGAUUUAACGGAUGAGUUAAAGGAAACUGUUAA